Molecule: transfer RNA, 72 nt
Filed under: Patiriella regularis
Lineage: Eukaryota; Metazoa; Echinodermata; Asteroidea; Valvatida; Asterinidae
Description: tRNA-Pro
Rfam family: tRNA
About the family: Transfer RNA (tRNA) molecules are approximately 80 nucleotides in length. Their secondary structure includes four short double-helical elements and three loops (D, anti-codon, and T loops).
Source: RNAcentral
UCAGAAAAUAGUUUAGAAUAGAACGGCAGCUUUGGGAGUUGUUAGUGCAGGUAUUGAAUCCUGUUUUUCUGA